Molecule: ribosomal RNA, 253 nt
Filed under: uncultured bacterium
Lineage: Bacteria
Description: partial 16S ribosomal RNA
Rfam family: Bacterial small subunit ribosomal RNA
Source: RNAcentral
UACGGGGGGGGCAAGCGUUGUUCGGAAUUACUGGGCUUAAAGGGCGCGUAGGCGGCCCUGCAAGUCGGGGGUGAGAUCCCACAGCUUAACUGUGGAAGUGCCUCCGAUACUGCGGGGCUCGAGCGAGGUAGGGGCAGCUGGAACUUCCGGUGGAGCGGUGAAAUGCGUUGAUAUCGGAAGGAACGCCGGUGGCGAAAGCGAGCUGCUGGACCUCUUCUGACGCUGAGGCACGAAGGUCAGGGGAGCAAACGGG